RNAcentral lists this ribosomal RNA (496 nucleotides) under uncultured bacterium. Its description in RNAcentral is "bacterial SSU rRNA". It matches the Rfam family "Bacterial small subunit ribosomal RNA", at positions 28 to 512 of the family's 1533-position model. The record is from RNAcentral.
GAUGAACGCUAGCUACAGGCUUAACACAUGCAAGUCGAGGGGAAACGAUAUUGGAAGCUUGCUUCCGAUAGGCGUCGACCGGCGCACGGGUGAGUAACGCGUAUCCAACCUGCCCAUCACUUGGGGAUAACCUUGCGAAAGUAAGACUAAUACCCAAUGACGUCUCUAGAAGACAUCUGAAGGAGAUUAAAGAUUUAUCGGUGAUGGAUGGGGAUGCGUCUGAUUAGCUUGUUGGCGGGGUAACGGCCCACCAAGGCGACGAUCAGUAGGGGUUCUGAGAGGAAGGUCCCCCACAUUGGAACUGAGACACGGUCCAAACUCCUACGGGAGGCAGCAGUGAGGAAUAUUGGUCAAUGGGCGAGAGCCUGAACCAGCCAAGUAGCGUGCAGGAUGACGGCCCUAUGGGUUGUAAACUUCUUUAUACGGGAAUAAAGUGAGGCACGUGUGCCUUUUUGUAUGUACCGUAUGAAUAAGGAUCGGCUAACUCCGUGCCAGC